This 252-nucleotide ribosomal RNA is filed under the name uncultured bacterium. Its description in RNAcentral is "partial 16S ribosomal RNA". It matches the Rfam family "Bacterial small subunit ribosomal RNA", at positions 524 to 776 of the family's 1533-position model. The record is from RNAcentral.
UACGUAGGUGGCAAGCGUUGUCCGGAUUUAUUGGGCGUAAAGGGUACGCAGGCGGUUUAAUAAGUCGAAUGUUAAAGAUCGGGGCUCAACCCCGUAAAGCAUUGGAAACUGAUAAACUUGAGUAGUGGAGAGGAAAGUGGAAUUCCUAGUGUAGUGGUGAAAUACGUAGAUAUUAGGAGGAAUACCAGUAGCGAAGGCGACUUUCUGGCCAUAAACUGACGCUGAGGUACGAAAGCGUGGGUAGCAAACAGG